CUCCAAGGAACAUUCAACGCUGUCGGUGAGUUUGGGAUUUGGAAAAAAACCACCGACCGUUGACUGUACCUUGGGA
This is a non-coding RNA of Erinaceus europaeus (western European hedgehog), 76 nucleotides long. NCBI's taxonomy places the organism in Eukaryota, Metazoa, Chordata, Mammalia, Eulipotyphla, Erinaceidae. The record is from Rfam.